Long non-coding RNA from Rhodamnia argentea, 155 nucleotides. RefSeq lists it as uncharacterized. The transcript is spliced from 5 exons. NCBI's taxonomy places the organism in Eukaryota, Viridiplantae, Streptophyta, Magnoliopsida, Myrtales, Myrtaceae. The record is from RefSeq and is a predicted model, not a curated record.
CUUAUAUUGAUUUGGCACUACUUGGAUAUGGCUUCGGCGCAUAUCAAGUCCCACUAAUUUCUUUGGAAUAGAGGAAAAUUCCGCAAUCCCAGAAACACGUCCAGCCCAUUGAAACCACCGUAGUUCAUUAGGAAGACAUAUAGGACCUUGGAGAA